RNAcentral lists this transfer RNA (87 nucleotides) under Aphanothece hegewaldii CCALA 016. It matches the Rfam family "tRNA". From Rfam's summary of the family: Transfer RNA (tRNA) molecules are approximately 80 nucleotides in length. Lineage: Bacteria; Bacillati; Cyanobacteriota; Cyanophyceae; Chroococcales; Aphanothecaceae. The record is from Rfam by way of RNAcentral.
GGAGAGGUGGCAGAGCGGUUGAAUGCGCUUGACUCGAAAUCAGGUUACGGGGUGACUCGUACGUGGGUUCAAAUCCCACCCUCUCCG